RNAcentral lists this ribosomal RNA (515 nucleotides) under uncultured bacterium. RNAcentral describes it as "bacterial SSU rRNA". It matches the Rfam family "Bacterial small subunit ribosomal RNA", at positions 29 to 538 of the family's 1533-position model. The record is from RNAcentral.
AACGAACGCUGGCGGCGCGCCUAAUACAUGCAAGUCGAGCGAGAAGACGUAGCAAUACGUUUGUAAAGCGGCGAACGGGUGAGGAAUACAUGGGUAACCUACCCUCGAGUGGGGAAUAACUAGCCGAAAGGUUAGCUAAUACCGCGUACGCUCCUUGGACUUCGGUUCAGGGAGGAAAGCGAUACCGUGGGUAUCGCGCUCUUGGAUGGGCUCAUGUCCUAUCAGCUUGUUGGUGAGGAACGGCUCACCAAGGCUUCGACGGGUAGCUGGUCUGAGAGGACGAUCAGCCACACUGGCACUGCGACACGGGCCAGACUCCUACGGGAGGCAGCAGUAAGGAAUAUUGCGCAAUGGGCGAAAGCCUGACGCAGCGACGCCGCGUGGGGGAUGAAGGUCUUCGGAUUGUAAACCCCUUUCGUACCCGGACCGAAUAGCCCGCAAGGGACUUGACGGUACGGGUAGAAGAAGCCCGGCUAACUACGUGGCAGCCGCCGCAGUAACACCUGAGACGCCAA